GAUGCACGGCUCCAUACGGAGAUAUUCUCUCUGAAUUAGCGAAUAACGGAAGACUACACUCGUUCACAAAUUCCCUAGGAAAAUACUUGCCAGUGUACAUAUAUGCGGUGCUCUGGUUGUUCAGGUUCGCCGCACUGAACCGCUUCAGGGCGCUGAGCUAGGCGGGGAUCCAUUCCCGCUGCCCCUGGCAUACGAGUCGCUAUCGUCGACAGUUCCCCAGUGUUUAGGUGUCAUGCCUAUCUGGCGUACGAAGCGAUGUUCGUGGUAGCUCGCUCCACAGAGCCUCUCGCGACGCUCUGGAUGCACGACACUUUGUCGGUUGUCGAUCGAGACGUUCAAGCGUCGGUGCAGAGAACGCCUAGCGCCGUGCGCUACCAAGUCCACGACCCGACGUGUCGUUCAUUUCCGUUCCCAAACCGGUGCAGAGGCUUUCUCUUGAUUGCACGCUUCCUGGCUCCGGAUGGCCGAGACCGGGGCGACUCCAGCGCCGUCGUCAUGGACGUCUGCCACGGGAUGCUCGUGUGACCUCUCUGGAAGCUCCUGUACGGACUGCAUGGAGCGUGCAAGGCAUCCCGCGCUGCUCGGCCCGGUGCGUAGCGUGUCGGGUGAGCACCCGGCGCCUGCAUGUUGCUUCUUUGUAUGCCACGUGGCGUCCACAGCGCUCGACUUUCGAAGAUUCCGGGCACAGGUCGAGCUGAGCAGCUCCGUCUGGUUUGCUGGUCAGGCGUUCGGCUCCGUGCUUUUGGUUGCUCCGUGUGCGGCGACAGCCGUGAAGCGCCUUACCCGCGGAUAAACGCUGAAACUAGAAUCUUUUUCCUGGUCUACCUGGAUCGGUUGAGAAAGAGUCUCGUUGCGCACCGCUGGGCGAGGCCUCACCAAGUGCAUCCAGACUGAUGGUUUGUCGCUCUGCAUGCUCCCGCAGACCGUUCUUCAUUUCCUGGGAGCAAACGAGAAACAUGGAAUGAGCGCCACAGACGCUGUUUGCGAAUCUGUUCCAAUGCAUCGUCGUUUCUUGCCAAGACCAACCGCUAAAAGAGCGGACGAUAUCCACUGGCAAGCAAUUCGAUACCAGUGUCGUUCGGCCUUCAUGAUAACCGUUGGAAAGGAGGAUACGAUUUCCGUAUCUUCCAACGUUUGCCUUCUAUGCCGAAGUGCCCGUGUGCCGGACGAGUAUGCUGGGCCAGUGCUGCAUGCUGCCCCCAGGGGUGGGUGCAGUUGCGCCACCUGAACAACUCGCCCGCAAUGCAGUUGAUUCUCGGAUUCAGGGCAGUUCGGGUGUGUCUCGAAGUCGCCCAGGUUGCAGUUAUCUCCUAGUACACCGCAUCGCGCUGCCGCAUGCAGUAGGUCUGUCUGCGCAGUUUGCAGGCGCCCAGAAUGAUGUAGAGUGCCGACCCCGUGUCGGAUGAACGACGCCUCGAGCCGACAUGCCCAUUGGUAUGGCAACGCUGCUCUGUCUUUGUAUUGCAUCCGCACUUGCGGUAUAAGCGCUACAACGGGUGCAGCACUGCAUGCACUCGGCGCGAGAGAUACCAUAACAAACGACCAGUGUAUCCUAAAGAAAGUAUGGGCCAUGGAACCUGAAGGUACAGUGCGUCAUGAUGAAUACGUUCCCGAAUGCCUAUAUCCCUCAUUUGAUCUUGGGUAUACGUUCAAU
Molecule: unclassified non-coding RNA, 1654 nt
Filed under: Cyanidioschyzon merolae strain 10D
Lineage: Eukaryota; Rhodophyta; Bangiophyceae; Cyanidiales; Cyanidiaceae
Description: hypothetical transcript
Source: RNAcentral